UUGCUCACCUGGGCAGCACAUAUACUAACACUGGAACGAUACAGAGAAGGUCGGCAAGGCCCCCGCCAAGGAUGACACGCGAAUUCGUGGAGCUUCCGUGUUUUAA
Molecule: small nuclear RNA, 106 nt
Organism: Panthera leo (lion)
Lineage: Eukaryota; Metazoa; Chordata; Mammalia; Carnivora; Felidae
Source: Ensembl